CAGCAGCCGCCGCGGGAAAACGUAGGGUGCAAGCGUUAAUCGGAAUUACUGGGCGUAAAGCGUGCGCAGGCGGUUAUAUAAGACAGAUGUGAAAUCCCCGGGCUCAACCUGGGAACUGCAUUUGUGACUGUAUAGCUAGAGUACGGCAGAGGGGGAUGGAAUUCCGCGUGUAGCAGUGAAAUGCGUAGAUAUGCGGAGGAACACCGAUGGCGAAGGCAAUCCCCUGGGCCUGUACUGACGCUCAUGCACGAAAGCGUGGGGAGCAAACAGGAUUAGAUACCCGUGUAGUCCCUGUCUCUUAUAC
Molecule: ribosomal RNA, 304 nt
Filed under: uncultured bacterium
Lineage: Bacteria
Description: partial 16S ribosomal RNA
Rfam family: Bacterial small subunit ribosomal RNA
Source: RNAcentral